This 1099-nucleotide long non-coding RNA is filed under the name Chrysolophus pictus (golden pheasant). RNAcentral describes it as "lncRNA (ENSCPIG00010007874.1)". Lineage: Eukaryota; Metazoa; Chordata; Aves; Galliformes; Phasianidae. The record is from RNAcentral.
CAGGACAAAUGUGGCCAGAAGAUGCUGCAUGCUUGGCAAGGAAUAAACUUCUUGAUUGCAGUGCAGUUGUAUAAAGGCAGGAUGGCGAGCAUACCAAGAGGAAGUGUUACUGACCCUCAUCCUUGAGGAUAAAAGACAAAAUCUCGUGAAGGAUUGUAGGGUGGAAACAUGUUUGGCAGUGCAGUUUCUGAUAUCAAUUCCAGAAAUGAGAACCCAAUUAAGUGAACCCAGUAUAGGGGAUGGCAAAUCCUAUAUCCUUUGCCAGAAGAAGCAAUGCGGAUGAGUACAUUGUAGGGAGAGCGGCUGCCCUUCCUUCCCUCGGUGCCUACAGCUGGCUCGUGUUGUCGCACUCGCAGCUGAUGCCCCUCGGCCGAUCAUGCAUUGCUGAUCACCAUUCAAGAGUCGCUGUCCAUCACGAAGAGCUCCUGAGAAACCCGGCUCUGCCCUCCGCUAAUCUCACCCCUCCGAGCUGGCUGCCCCACGACGGGACGGGGCGGCCCGCAAGACCCGGUGCUGCCCGGCUGCGCCUCGUCCUCGGAGAUGGUGUCAGCUCUCCGCGAUAUCAGUUUGAUAUUCUGAUAAGCCAAAUGGGCGAAGAAAGGAAAAUUCCCGGAUAUACCGCUGUGUUUGGAAAUAUAUUGACUGCCUGGGAUUUAUCUUUCUCUAAUUACACAAACCAGCCUAGGCUCUUCUGUUGUACAGCUGCACAGCUAGCCUGAAAAUCCCUGAAUUUUUGGGAAAGUAGUUCAGUUGUUUCCCUUUGCUCCUACUUGCCUGUUAGUGAAGUUUACUGAUGGCAGUUAACAUUGCUUGCCUGCCAUUUGCCUGAUACCAAUGGUAAAGCUUAGACUGAAGGCAAUGCAGCUACACUCAAACUUCUGCUCCCUUCCAAGGUUGUUCAGUCUUCCACUGCUUCCUACAUGAGAAGCUUUUAUUUCUAUUUGUUAGGAGGGCCACAACCCAUUCUGGGGCCAGCCCUCUAGAAAAGUAGGGCUGUGAUGCACCUGAACCGUGGGGGUGGAGGGGUUCAUUUGAAAGCUUCACCUGGUGCUGUUUCCUUCUGACUGCCUUGUGACUGAUUGAUCUCAACAUACAGCUG